GACGAACGCUGGCGGCGUGCUUAACACAUGCAAGUCGAACGGAAAGGCCCUGCUUGCAGGGUACUCGAGUGGCGAACGGGUGAGUAACACGUGUGUGAUCUGCCCUGCACUUCUGGAUAAGCUUGGGAAACUGGGUCUCAUACCGGAUAUGAGCCAUCUUUAGUCUGGUUGUUGGAAAGUUUUUUCGGUGUAGGAUGAGCUCGCGGCCUAUCAGCUUGUUGGUGGGGUAAUGGGCUACCAAGGGGGCGACGGGUAGCCGGCCUGAGAGGGUGUACGGCCACAUUGGGACUGAGAGACGGCCCAGACUCCUACGGGAGGCAGAAGUGGGGAAUAUUGCACAAUGGGCGCAAGCCUGAGGCAGCGACGCCGCGUGGGGGAUGAAGGCCUUCGGGUUGUAAACUCCUUUCGCUAGGGACGAAGCUUUUUUGUGACGGUACCUAGAUAAGAAGCACCGGCUAACUACGUG
Molecule: ribosomal RNA, 466 nt
Filed under: uncultured bacterium
Lineage: Bacteria
Description: partial 16S ribosomal RNA
Rfam family: Bacterial small subunit ribosomal RNA
Source: RNAcentral